RNAcentral lists this ribosomal RNA (387 nucleotides) under uncultured bacterium. RNAcentral describes it as "bacterial SSU rRNA". It matches the Rfam family "Bacterial small subunit ribosomal RNA", at positions 392 to 782 of the family's 1533-position model. The record is from RNAcentral.
CAACGCCGCGUGGAGGAUGAAGGUCUUCGGAUCGUAAACUCCUGUCAGGGGGGACGAAAGCCGCGCAAGCGGUUUGACUGUACCCUCUGAGGAAGCCACGGCUAACUCCGUGCCAGCAGCCGCGGUAAUACGGAGGUGGCAAGCGUUGUUCGGAAUUACUGGGCGUAAAGGGCGCGUAGGCGGCUUGGCAAGUCAGAUGUGAAAGCCCCAGGCUUAACUUGGGAAUUGCAUCUGAAACUGCUUUGCUUGAGUCCUGGAGGGGGUAGUGGAAUUCCCAGUGUAGCGGUGAAAUGCGUAGAUAUUGGGAGGAACACCUGCGGCGAAGGCGGCUACCUGGACAGUGACUGACGCUGAGGCGCGAAAGCUAGGGGAGCAAACGGGAUUAGA